This 262-nucleotide long non-coding RNA is filed under the name Vitis vinifera (wine grape). RNAcentral describes it as "long non-coding RNA (VVIN_LNC005354)". The record is from RNAcentral. Lineage: Eukaryota; Viridiplantae; Streptophyta; Magnoliopsida; Vitales; Vitaceae.
UUGUAUUGCACAUGAAUUCUUUUUUGAUGAGGUAUAUAACAAGUUAUUAAGAUAUUGGAGGAACUAAAAAAUUUAUUAAUAGUUACAUUUUCUUGUAGGUAUUGUGAUCAAGUUAUUGCUUGCACCCUAUUUUCAAAUCCUACUAAAUAACUUGACCAUGCUUGAGAGUCCUGUCUAGAUGUGAAGAAUUGAUUAGCAUCAUCAUUUUUUAUAUAUAUUGAAAAUAUCAUUUGUAAAUAAUAAUAAUAUAAAUUCCUUCUUG